UCAUGAGUUCUCAGUGGGAUGACCUAGUUCUGGCCUUCUCCCACAUAUCUCAGUCGCUCUUUUUGACAUCGCCCACUAUCUAGUGUCAGUGAUGACACUAAAGCAUAAGCCAGCACAGCAGCAGGGGCAGUGGCAUGGAAGAAUCCUAUUUCAAGCUGGAUUACUGCUUUGGUGGGGGAAUUUUAGUCUAUGUACUGCUUACAGAGCAUCCAUUGAGAUUUCUUACAAACAACACUAAUAUAUUACUGCCAUCUUCCACCUGACAUAUAUUAUUUUGCCCAAGGUUAUUCAUUUCUACCUGUUGAACUCCUAGCUGAGAGAAUGAAGAAAGUGACUAGAAUUUGGAAAAUAGCAGUUAAAGUCAAACGUGCUAAUAGAAAAUAUGAAAAAUGAGGCUGGAUUCUCAUGAUAGCUAUUGGAUGGGCAUGAGGUGCGGGUCCUACCAUUAUCACGAAUUUUGAGUAGUUCGUAAAAGGAAACAGAAGGUAAUGGAUGGUUGAAGAUGUCUUACCCUUCCUAGAUAACCAUGCUGGGGUCAGUUAUCCUCAUAUCCCAGCACACCAAGCAUCUGGCAAUAUCAAAGCAUAAUCUGAUAUUCCUUUAUAACAUCUUUAUUGUGGUCACAAAGAUAGCCAUAAUGAUUACAGAGACUUCUAGGAUGACAUUUGUUUCUUUUGAGGGUACAUUGAGAUGGAUACUGUUUGGCUGGCAACAAUAGUUUUCAUUGGAAAAGAAAAGCAAAACAAAAUUACCUUUCAAUGACCGUGGUUCAUUGGCCUCAAAUCUUAUAGCUGAUGCUUCACAUAAUGUUAAAAAGAAAUGUAGUAAGAAGACUG
This 836-nucleotide long non-coding RNA is filed under the name Homo sapiens (human). Its description in RNAcentral is "non-protein coding lnc-TBL1XR1-15:1". Lineage: Eukaryota; Metazoa; Chordata; Mammalia; Primates; Hominidae. The record is from RNAcentral.